UAAUACGUAGGGUGCGAGCGUUAAUCGGAAUUACUGGGCGUAAAGCGUGCGCAGGCGGUUUGAUAAGUCAGAUGUGAAAUCCCCGGGCUUAACCUGGGAACUGCGUUUGAAACUAUCAGGCUAGAGUGUGGCAGAGGGGGGUAGAAUUCCACGUGUAGCAGUGAAAUGCGUAGAGAUGUGGAGGAAUACCGAUGGCGAAGGCAGCCCCCUGGGCCGAUACUGACGCUCAGGCACGAAAGCGUGGGGAGCAAACAGGAUUAGAUACCCUGGUAGUCCACGCCCUAAACGAUGUCAACUAGUUGUUCGGAGAUGAAAUUCUUUGAGUAACGCAGCUAACGCGUGAAGUUGACCGCCUGGGGAGUACGAUCGCAAGAUUA
This 377-nucleotide ribosomal RNA is filed under the name uncultured bacterium. RNAcentral describes it as "bacterial SSU rRNA". It matches the Rfam family "Bacterial small subunit ribosomal RNA", at positions 521 to 896 of the family's 1533-position model. The record is from RNAcentral.